This 444-nucleotide ribosomal RNA is filed under the name Stenocatantops splendens. Its description in RNAcentral is "partial 16S ribosomal RNA". It matches the Rfam family "Archaeal large subunit ribosomal RNA", at positions 1911 to 2598 of the family's 2987-position model. Lineage: Eukaryota; Metazoa; Arthropoda; Insecta; Orthoptera; Acrididae. The record is from RNAcentral.
GUCCUCUUGAUAAUAUUAUGAGGUCCGGCCUGCUCACUGACGAGGUUUAUUAAAGAGCCGCGGUAAUUUGACCGUGCAAAGGUAGCAUAAUCAUUAGUCUCUUAAUUAGGGGCUGGAAUGAAUGGCUUGACGAGAAAUCAACUGUCUCUUGAUAAAUUUUUGAAUUUAACUUUUGAGUCAAAAGGCUUAAAUUUUUCUUAAGGACGAGAAGACCCUAUAGAGCUUGACAUUUUAUUUAUAUAUAAUUUUUAGUUAGUCUUUUUAUAUUUAUUGAUGAUGUUUUGUUGGGGUGACAUGAAAAAUAAUUAAACUCUUCAUUAUUAAAUCAUUGAUUUAUGUAUAAAUGAUGAUCCAUAAUUUAUGAUCAUAAGAUUAAGUUACCUUAGGGAUAACAGCGUAAUUAUUUUCGAGAGCUCAUAUCGACAAAUUAGAUUUCGACCUCGA